This 819-nucleotide ribosomal RNA is filed under the name uncultured eukaryote. RNAcentral describes it as "SSU rRNA". It matches the Rfam family "Eukaryotic small subunit ribosomal RNA", at positions 629 to 1426 of the family's 1831-position model. The record is from RNAcentral.
CGGUGUUUAACUGGCGUGAUGUAGGACGUCCUACCGGUGGGCUUAGCCUCGCGAGGGGCGGCCCAACUAAUAUCCCGUCGCGGUGCUCUUUACUGAGUGUCGAGUCGGGCCGGUACGUUUACUUUGAACAAAUUAGAGUGCUUAAAGCAGGCUAUCCUCGCCUGAAUACUGCGUGCAUGGAAUAAUGGAAUAGGACCUCGGUUCUAUUUUGUUGGUUUUCGGAACCCCGAGGUAAUGAUUAAUAGGGACAGAUGGGGGCAUUCGUAUUGCGACGUUAGAGGUGAAAUUCUUGGAUCGUCGCAAGACGGACAGAAGCGAAAGCAUUUGCCAAAAAUGUUUUCAUUAAUCAAGAGCGAAAGUUAGAGGUUCGAAGGCGAUCAGAUACCGCCCUAGUUCUAACCAUAAACGAUGCCAGCUAGCGAUCCGCCGAAGUUCCUCCGAUGACUCGGCGGGCAGCUUCCGGGAAACCAAAGCUUUUGGGUUCCGGGGGAAGUAUGGUUGCAAAGCUGAAACUUAAAGGAAUUGACGGAAGGGCACCACCAGGAGUGGAGCCUGCGGCUUAAUUUGACUCAACACGGGAAACCUCACCAGGCCCAGACACCGGAAGGAUUGACAGAUUGAUAGCUCUUUCUUGAUUCGGUGGGUGGUGGUGCAUGGCCGUUCUUAGUUGGUGGAGCGAUUUGUCUGGUUAAUUCCGAUAACGAACGAGACUCCAGCCUGCUAAAUAGGCGUACCUUAUGGUAUCGCGAAGGCCCCCGGCUUCGGCCGGUGGGUUUUUACUACCAACGUACAAACAAAUCUUCUUAGAGGGACAGGCGG